GAUCCUGGCUCAGGACGAACGCUGGCGGCGUGCCUAACACAUGCAAGUCGAACGGAGAUGUUUAUUUCGGUAGAUAUCUUAGUGGCGCACGGGUGAGUAACGCGUGAAUAACCUGACCCGAAGAGGGGGAUAACACCUGGAAACAAGUGCUAAUACCGCAUAAGACCACGGACCGGCAUCGGUCAGAGGUCAAAGGAGGAAUCCGCUUUGGUAGGGGGUCGGGUCGUCCCACUAGUUAGGUUGGGUUGGAGGUAACGGGACCCGACCCAACGACCGACCGG
This 281-nucleotide ribosomal RNA is filed under the name uncultured bacterium. RNAcentral describes it as "partial 16S ribosomal RNA". It matches the Rfam family "Bacterial small subunit ribosomal RNA", at positions 15 to 283 of the family's 1533-position model. The record is from RNAcentral.